AAUCUGGGGUCCCCGACCUCCGAGUUGUAAUUUGGAGAGGCAUCUUCGGGGGGGAGCGCCGGCCCAUGUUCCUUGGGACAGGACGUCACAGAGGGUGAGAAUCCCGUGCCUGGCCGGCUGCCUCCUCCCGGGUGAAGGGCCUUCGACGAGUCGAGUUGUUUGGGAAUGCAGCUCCAAGUGGGUGGUAAAUUUCAUCUAAAGCUAAAUACCGGCGGGAGACCGAUAGCGCACAAGUAGAGUGAUCGAAAGAUGAAAAGCACUUUGAAAAUAGAGUCAAAAAGUACGUGAAAUUGUUGAAAGGGAAGCGCUUGAGACCAGACUCAGGCCUGGGCAAACAUCGCGCCCCUCGGGGCCGUGCAAUUGCCUGGGCCUGGGCCAGCAUCAGUUGGCGUGGCGGGACAAAGGCGCGGGGAAUGUGGCUCCCCUCGGGGUGUGUUAUUAGGCCCGCGCUCAAUGCCGUCGACGCCGACUGAGGACCGCGCCUCGGCUAGGAUGCUGGCUUAAUGGCCUUCAGCGACCCGUCUUGAAACACGGACCAAGGAGUCUAACAUCUAUGCGAGUGUUUGGGCGACAAACCCUUGCGCGGAAUGAAAGUGAGCGGAGGUGGGAACCCCCCCGCGGGGCGCACCAUCGACCGAUCCUGAUGUCUUCGGAUGGAUUUGAGUA
This 666-nucleotide ribosomal RNA is filed under the name Helvella macropus. RNAcentral describes it as "eukaryotic LSU rRNA". It matches the Rfam family "Eukaryotic large subunit ribosomal RNA", at positions 119 to 796 of the family's 3401-position model. The record is from RNAcentral. Lineage: Eukaryota; Fungi; Ascomycota; Pezizomycetes; Pezizales; Helvellaceae.